Molecule: ribosomal RNA, 504 nt
Filed under: uncultured bacterium
Lineage: Bacteria
Description: bacterial SSU rRNA
Rfam family: Bacterial small subunit ribosomal RNA
Source: RNAcentral
GAACGCUGGCGGCGUGCUUAACACAUGCAAGUCGAACGCGAAAGGGGCUUCGGCCCUGAGUAAAGUGGCGCACGGGUGAGUAACGCGUGGAUAAUCUGCCCUUAUGAUCGGGAUAACAGUUGGAAACGGCUGCUAAUACCGGAUACGCUCAAAAUGAACUUUUUGAGGAAAGAUGGCCUCUGCUUGCAUGCUAUCGCAUAGGGAUGAGUCCGCGUCCCAUUAGCUUGUUGGCGGGGUAACGGCCCACCAAGGCAACGAUGGGUAGCCGAUUUGAGAGGAUGAUCGGCCACACUGGAACUGAAACACGGUCCAGACUCCUACGGGAGGCAGCAGUGGGGAAUAUUGCGCAAUGGGCGAAAGCCUGACGCAGCGACGCCGCGUGAGGGAUGAAGGUUUUCGGAUCGUAAACCUCUGUCAGAAGGGAAGAAACUACGUUGUGCUAAUCAGCAGCGUACUGACGGUACCUUCAAAGGAAGCACCGGCUAACUCCGUGCCAGCAGCGGC